This 240-nucleotide ribosomal RNA is filed under the name uncultured bacterium. RNAcentral describes it as "partial 16S ribosomal RNA". It matches the Rfam family "Bacterial small subunit ribosomal RNA", at positions 524 to 763 of the family's 1533-position model. The record is from RNAcentral.
UACAGAGGGUGCAAGCGUUAAUCGGAAUUACUGGGCGUAAAGGGCGCGUAGGUGGUUAUUUAAGUCAGAUGUGAAAUCCCUGGGCUUAACCUAGGAAUUGCAUUUGAAACUAGAUGGCUAGAGUAUGGUAGAGGGAAGUGGAAUUUCCGGUGUAGCGGUGAAAUGCGUAGAUAUCGGAAGGAACACCAGUGGCGAAGGCGACUUCCUGGACCAUUACUGACACUGAGGCGCGAAAGCGUG